This 253-nucleotide ribosomal RNA is filed under the name uncultured bacterium. Its description in RNAcentral is "partial 16S ribosomal RNA". It matches the Rfam family "Bacterial small subunit ribosomal RNA", at positions 524 to 776 of the family's 1533-position model. The record is from RNAcentral.
UACGGAGGUGGCAAGCGUUGCUCGGAAUCACUGGGCGUAAAGGGCGCGUAGGCGGGGAGGUAAGUCGGGUGUGAAAUCCCUCGGCCCAACCGAGGAACUGCGCCCGAGACUGCUUCUCUUGAGUCCCGGAGAGGAAGAUGGAAUUCCCGGUGUAGCGGUGAAAUGUGUAGAGAUCGGGAGGAACACCGGUGGCGAAGGCGGUCUUCUGGACGGUGACUGACGCUGAGGAGCGAAAGCGUGGGGAGCGAACAGG